This 430-nucleotide long non-coding RNA is filed under the name Melopsittacus undulatus (budgerigar). RNAcentral's name for it is "lncRNA (ENSMUNG00000020684.1)". Lineage: Eukaryota; Metazoa; Chordata; Aves; Psittaciformes; Psittaculidae. The record is from RNAcentral.
CUGGCGUGGUGUGAUCCGUCGGCCGGCAGGGGACGGCAGUGUGGUGAUGAGGGAAGGGGCAGUGAGGCGGCGCGCAGAGGUGAGCGGGGCGGGGGCUCUGCCCCUAGCUGGCGGGGUCCGGAGCUAAUACAGGGUCUGCGUCGGACGUGCAGCAGCUGUGCUAGGCCAUCGAGGAGUGCAAGCAGGCAAUCCUGGUAUUGCCCAAGCAUUCAGAGCGGCAGAAGGACUUGGUGAUGCGGCUCAUCCUCAAGCUGCAGGAGCUGAAGGAUCCUGGUGAGGAUGAGCCCAACAUCCGGGUGGUGCUAGAGCAUUGCUUCUACAAGGAAAAGAGCAAGACUGUGAAGCCGAUGCAGCAUCAUCAUCUGGGGCCUCAUCCAGACCUGGUACACCUGCACAGGCUGCUACUACCAGGGCCACAGCAAGUGCCCGC